Molecule: long non-coding RNA, 215 nt
Filed under: Mytilus galloprovincialis (Mediterranean mussel)
Lineage: Eukaryota; Metazoa; Mollusca; Bivalvia; Mytilida; Mytilidae
Source: RNAcentral
UGAUGCAUUAACUAAACAGUCACAAUAAAUAAAACAUAUGGGUACAUCAGUCAUCAUCGUAUAACAAUUUAAAAAGGGAACAAUUUAACAGAACACAAAAACAUAUAUCUACAAACACAUUCAUUGAUUUGUGUGUCUGACGUCAGAAAAUUGUAUACGUCACAUAAAUUUGUCGCUCAAUGUACAUGCAAACAAUUUUAAAAUUUACAUAGGCA